CAGUAGCCACGGUAAAACGAAGGGGGCUAGCGUUGCUCGGAAUGACUGGGCGUAAAGGGCGCGUAGGCGGUUUGUACAAUUGGAUGUGAAAUUCCUGGGCUUAACCUGGGGGCUGCAUUCAAUACGUGCAGGCUUGAGUGUGGAAGAGGGUUGUGGAAUUCCACGUGUAGCAGUGAAAUGCGUAGAGAUGUGGAGGAAUACCGAUGGCGAAGGCAGCCCCCUGGGCCAAUACUGACGCUCAUGCACGAAAGCGUGGGGAGCAAACAGGAUUAGAUACCCGGGUAGUCCCUGUCUCUUAUAU
Molecule: ribosomal RNA, 301 nt
Filed under: uncultured bacterium
Lineage: Bacteria
Description: partial 16S ribosomal RNA
Rfam family: Bacterial small subunit ribosomal RNA
Source: RNAcentral